RNAcentral lists this ribosomal RNA (482 nucleotides) under uncultured bacterium. RNAcentral's name for it is "partial 16S ribosomal RNA". It matches the Rfam family "Bacterial small subunit ribosomal RNA", at positions 30 to 505 of the family's 1533-position model. The record is from RNAcentral.
AUUGAACGCUGGCGGCAGGCCUAACACAUGCAAGUCGAGCGGAUGAGGGGAGCUUGCUCCUGGAUUCAGCGGCGGACGGGUGAGUAAUGCCUAGGAAUCUGCCUGGUAGUGGGGGAUAACGUCCGGAAACGGGCGCUAAUACCGCAUACGUCCUGAUGGAGAAAGUGGGGGAGCUUCGGACCGCACGCUAUCAGAUGAGCCUAGGUCGGAUUAGCUAGUUGGUGGGGUGCAGGCCUACCGAGGCGACGUUCCGUAACUGGGCUGAGAGGGUGAUCAGUCACGCUAGGACUGAGAGACGGUCCAGACUCCUACGGGAGGCCGCAGUGGUGCAGGUUGGACAAUGGGGGAAUGCCUGAUCCAGCCAUGCAGCGUGUGUGAAGAAGGUCUUCGGAUUGUAAAGCACUUUCAGUUGGGAGGAAGGGCAGUACGUUAAUACCUUGCUGUUUUGACGUUAGCAACAGAAUAAGCACCGGCUAACUUCG